CAUUUUAAAUCAAAACGAUAUGAAAAACCUAAUGUGAAUCAACUAGAAAAUAAAAUGAAACGCAAGAGCAUGUUUAUUUUAUCGAAACUGAAUUUUGGGUUGCAGUGAAAUUCGCUAGAAAUUACUUUUUUCUGCAGUUUAUUUCGUAGUUAUAAAAGUAAGUUUUAUUAGUUCUGAUGUUUGUUUAGUAGAAAAUAUAUGAUGUAAAAUUAUAAUUUAUGUAUAAAUAAUAAAUAAUUUAAUAAAUAAAAAAUAAUUUAAUUAUAUUUUUUAAUUUUUGUCAUAUUUUAAUUGUACAAAUUAAAUAAAAAAAUAUUAAAACUUAAUUAAUUAAUUUUUAUAAUAUUUUAAAUAUGUUAACUGAAUAAAAGAAUAAUUACUACCAUAAUUAAAUAUAUUUAAAAAUAAUUAUCUUUAUUUAGUAUAUUAUUUUAUUAUUUUUCUUCACCUCUCCUUACUAUAAUUGANAAUUGUACAAAUUAAAUAAAAAAAUAUUAAAACUUAAUUAAUUAAUUUUUAUAAUAUUUUAAAUAUGUUAACUGAAUAAAAGAAUAAUUACUACCAUAAUUAAAUAUAUUUAAAAAUAAUUAUCUUUAUUUAGUAUAUUAUUUUAUUAUUUUUCUUCACCUCUCCUUACUAUAAUUGACUUCCGCCCACCACGUGCCGAAAUUAAUUACAUCGUUUCAGGUUAACUCAAAUUUCAACUAUAACUUAUUUACGGUGAACCAAACAACAGAGAUAAUUGUUUAUAGCGAAAACGACUUUCCUCCUCUCCACUUUCAUCCCACUUCCACCCAAACAAAUAUGCCCCAAAUAUAAUAAUACAUUCAGCACUGCGACCUCAGUGAGCUGAAUU
RNAcentral lists this long non-coding RNA (856 nucleotides) under Ananas comosus (pineapple). RNAcentral's name for it is "long non-coding RNA (ACOM_LNC017039)". Lineage: Eukaryota; Viridiplantae; Streptophyta; Magnoliopsida; Poales; Bromeliaceae. The record is from RNAcentral.